This 763-nucleotide ribosomal RNA is filed under the name uncultured Streptococcus sp. Its description in RNAcentral is "bacterial SSU rRNA". It matches the Rfam family "Bacterial small subunit ribosomal RNA", at positions 28 to 776 of the family's 1533-position model. Lineage: Bacteria; Bacillati; Bacillota; Bacilli; Lactobacillales; Streptococcaceae. The record is from RNAcentral.
GACGAACGCUGGCGGCGUGCCUAAUACAUGCAAGUAGAACGCUGAAGGAGGAGCUUGCUUCUCCGGAUGAGUUGCGAACGGGUGAGUAACGCGUAGGUAACCUGCCUGGUAGCGGGGGAUAACUAUUGGAAACGAUAGCUAAUACCGCAUAACAGUAGAUAUUGCAUGAUAUCUGCUUGAAAGGUGCAAUUGCAUCACUACCAGAUGGACCUGCGUUGUAUUAGCUAGUUGGUGAGGUAACGGCUCACCAAGGCGACGAUACAUAGCCGACCUGAGAGGGUGAUCGGCCACACUGGGACUGAGACACGGCCCAGACUCCUACGGGAGGCAGCAGUAGGGAAUCUUCGGCAAUGGACGGAAGUCUGACCGAGCAACGCCGCGUGAGUGAAGAAGGUUUUCGGAUCGUAAAGCUCUGUUGUAAGAGAAGAACGAGUGUGAGAGUGGAAAGUUCACACUGUGACGGUAUCUUACCAGAAAGGGACGGCUAACUACGUGCCAGCAGCCGCGGUAAUACGUAGGUCCCGAGCGUUGUCCGGAUUUAUUGGGCAUAAAGCGAGCGCAGGCGGUUAGAUAAGUCUGAAGUUAAAGGCUGUGGCUUAACCAUAGUACGCUUUGGAAACUGUUUAACUUGAGUGCAAGAGGGGAGAGUGGAAUUCCAUGUGUAGCGGUGAAAUGCGUAGAUAUAUGGAGGAACACCGGUGGCGAAAGCGGCUCUCUGGCUUGUAACUGACGCUGAGGCUCGAAAGCGUGGGGAGCAAACAGG